AACAGAAUUUUGAGACCAAAUAAUAUCAACAUGUAGUGAACCAUGGAAGAACAUUCCUUGUGGAUAUUCAGAAAAAAAUGUUUGGUGCUACUUGAGGCAAGAACAUACCUCUCAUGCUGAUCUAACGAUAGACUAAAUCUAAUCACACCAAAGCAGGAAAAAGAUCGGAUGUGGACUUCCGCAUGACUCCCGUCACUACGAGGAGGCUUCGCGGCACAUGAUCACUUUUGAGAGAUGGACGUGCGCUGUCACGGGCUUUUGAAAUAUUUUGCUGGAAUUAUGGAAACAAAAUGCAUGUUAUAUUUCACAUGUAGAAAAAAAGAUAGCACGGGCAUAAUCGAGUAAUAAUUUAAGUCCACUUCACUUACAUUGUAAAUUGUUAACAAAAGGCAAUUUGACAAUGCAUACAUAUAGAGCGAUGAUCCAACUAAAAAUCUAUUACAAAUUAAUAUCUAUUUGAUGCGUUUAAGAAAUUCUCGCACAAUAUUAGCAAUGUUGUCUUUAGUUUCAUUUGCACAAUAUUUGAGCAAGUAUAAUAAAAAUGUCUUCCUCACCGGCCUUCGGGUCCGUCCACUUUCAUGCCAACCACGGUGGCCAACCUUGACCCAGGCUUCGACUUCUUUGCUUGCGCGAUGGCGGACGCCUCGCUUACUCGAAAACACCAUGAUGGACACCAUCCACCCUACCUUGCCUACCGGCAGCACUUUUCUUCCGGCACGGGCUCGCCGACCACCUCUCUCUCAGGAUCCUCUCCACAACUACACGGUGGCCGGAGCCAACCGUCCGCCAUGACUGCUCCACCACCACCCCGAGGCUCGACAUGAGUCAACUUUAAUCGUGUCAAACAUACAUUGUUUGGAUCCUCAUGCACAUUAAGCAACAUUCUUGAUUUUUUCUGCCUAUAAACCACUAUUAUUCUUCGUCUUUGUUCUCCUGCUCCUCUUCACUUACUAUCUCUACCGUCCCUAUCCAAGCCAGCCGCAAUCAUCAAUGUCCCAUCCGGCUCAAAAUCCCCAAACCUUCUACACCCAUACUAUGAAUUUUAAGGGACCUUUUGCCAUUAUUUUAUCCUUCAAAGUCUACAAACUAUAAUAUCAAUGUAGAAGUAAUUAGUGUAAACUCCUUUAUGCCCGCUCAUGGCCACUACGACCACAACUCUGUCGUCUCACCUACAUGAUGUGUGUCCACUCCCACAAUUUCCCCCUUACUCUGGCGAGGCCUCCAUUACUUUUGAAUAUUUUGUUCGGAUUAUUUGCCAUCAAGGAGAAAUUAGCAUAUUGCGCAUGAACAUAUGUGAUAAAAGUUCCUGCGAUUUGACACUACAGAGGUAGAGCAACAUGAAAAUAAAAGAGCAUGCUUCUAAUCUUCAAACUUCUUAGUUUAAAAAAAUGGCGAUAACCUUACAACAUUUUCCAGACUCUUGUCCAUACUGAAAAUGGUUCAUGCAUUAAGGAACACCACACAAAGUAUGGAAUCCAAAAAAACUAACAACAAGCGACAGUGACAUGGAUGGCUACCUUAUUGCUUUGGAAGUGGAUGGCAUGAGCCGUCGCUUAGAUGCACGAAACAGUCCCGACCAUGUACAGCUAGCCAAGAAACGUUGGGUCAAAACAAGGAGUUGGUACCUUGAGCAACGACGCCAUCGCGUUGACAUUUGCCCAACCCAACUGCUCAUGGCCAUCCUCGGCCACCACCUAUCCACCUGGACACACUCCUCUAGACCCAGGCGUUCUGAACGGCAUCCUCCCUGCUUCCCCAGCAUGAUGGCCGACUACCGUAACUUCUCUAGAGUGAAUCCUUCCAAAGGCGCUGCCGACAACAUCAUCCCUGUGGUGAUGCGUCUUCCUUCUUGUGCCUUUUGCUCCAUUGACCUCCUUCCUAUGAAAUUUCGGUAACAAGGUACAUUUCAGUAAUCAGUAAAAAAAUGCAGAUUUUAGUACAAGAGAAAUGAGCGUCUUGACAAAGGUUUAGUAGAAAUCAGAUUUCCGUACAACAAGAUAUUUUAGUACCUACUAAAAAGAAUAGUACAAGGGCAAUCAUCCGAACAAUAUCAUCAUAAGUAUGAACUAAACCUUUAGUCGCAGCAGGUACCUACUAAAUAGGAAGUGGAUGAUAUUCAUAUUACCCAUGUCAUCUCAAUAUCAUCAUAUGUUUAUUGUAGAAAAUCAUAAGCAUCAACACCACUACCUGGAAGACAUAUCUCCUAGCUUCUUUAUGAUUCAGAAUUCAACCCCAUGGAAGCUAAUAUGAAUAUCAUCUCAAGGAUCUAGAUAAAAUACCUGGAACAAAACUCAAUGAAGAACCAUAACAUCGAUCGAAACUAAACAUGAAAAUUUUGAACUCGCUGACUUUAUAUCAGUCUAGUAGUAAUAGUAGUACAAUCGCUGGUAGAAAAUGCAAUUCUCAACGUGCAUAUAGAUAUGCUAUUAUCUUGCUGCUAGAAAAUGUAGCGCUCAAGGUACAUAUAGAUAUGCCAUUGUCUUGCUGUGAAAUAGACUGCUUGGUUUGUUAGCUAGAUUAGGAAACCUAAGCUUUCCAACAAUUCCAAUCUGGAAGCACAAUCAGACCUCAUAGCCUUAAAGAUAAAUGAAAAGCAAUCAAACCAUUGGCGAGAACUUCUAAUUACGGCUCCGAGAGAACUCUAAUCCAUUUGUAAUUUGCCUAGAAAUAAAAUCAAUCAAACUGUAAUUUGCCUAGAAACAUGACCUCAAUGGCAUGCAUACCAUCACCUUUCAUAUCUUUUGUGGCAUUAAAUGAUUGUUGCAUUGUCUACGGAUGAGCCAAAAUUGCUAUGCCCCCAGUUCUACAAAUUAGAUGCACAAUAGAUUCCCCAUUCAGCCUAAUACCGCUGCAAAUGAACAAUAGAAAUCCACAUUAGUAAAUACAUCACGUCCCUGGUUAAGUAGUUAAUUUCAAGCCCAAAAAAUUAACACACUCCUGGCCAACAAUGUGCACGGUUAACCAUGAGCUACCGCAUCCUUGCCAAGUGUCCUCGUCCCACUCUUCCACUUGGCGUGAGGCCUCAACGGGACCUGCAUGAUCUAUCCAUCAGCGCAUUGACAGGAUUGUUACCAAAAUUCUUGUUCCUGUGAUCAAGCGGGAGGAGUACCGUGUAAAAUUCUGGCAUCCUGCUGUUGUGACAAGAAUGCAUCCUAUGACAAAAAUGUAUCCGACAUCCUCAAUCUCAAGCUAGAAAAAGACACGAGUCUCUUACUUACUAUGACAAAGUUACCAAUGUUUUUAUCAUUAAUUUAAGACGCAAAGCCUCAGGAUUGACAUGAGUAACAUGAAAGACCUUGGGAAAUAUGAAGAAAUUAGGCACACUUUUUUGUGCAUGAUGUGAAGUAGUAGUAAAAAAUCAAAAUGUCUCAUCUAGUGUUUAGUUCUGCAUACCAAGGUUAUAGUUAUACAAGUACAACGAUUAUUCAGACAAGAUCA
This 3438-nucleotide long non-coding RNA is filed under the name Triticum aestivum (bread wheat). Its description in RNAcentral is "long non-coding RNA (TAES_LNC016344)". Lineage: Eukaryota; Viridiplantae; Streptophyta; Magnoliopsida; Poales; Poaceae. The record is from RNAcentral.